Molecule: ribosomal RNA, 2767 nt
Filed under: Klebsiella pneumoniae
Lineage: Bacteria; Pseudomonadati; Pseudomonadota; Gammaproteobacteria; Enterobacterales; Enterobacteriaceae
Description: bacterial LSU rRNA
Rfam family: Bacterial large subunit ribosomal RNA
Source: RNAcentral
GAUUCGUCACACUAUCGUUAACUGAAUACAUAGGUUAACGAGGCGAACCGGGGGAACUGAAACAUCUAAGUACCCCGAGGAAAAGAAAUCAACCGAGAUUCCCCCAGUAGCGGCGAGCGAACGGGGAGCAGCCCAGAGUCUGAAUCAGCUUGUGUGUUAGUGGAACGGUCUGGAAAGUCCGACGGUACAGGGUGAUAGUCCCGUACACCAAAAUGCACAGGUUGUGAACUCGAAGAGUAGGGCGGGACACGUGGUAUCCUGUCUGAAUAUGGGGGGACCAUCCUCCAAGGCUAAAUACUCCUGACUGACCGAUAGUGAACCAGUACCGUGAGGGAAAGGCGAAAAGAACCCCGGCGAGGGGAGUGAAAAAGAACCUGAAACCGUGUACGUACAAGCAGUGGGAGCACCUUCGGGUGUGACUGCGUACCUUUUGUAUAAUGGGUCAGCGACUUAUAUUCUGUAGCAAGGUUAACCGUAUAGGGGAGCCGCAGGGAAACCGAGUCUUAACUGGGCGUUAAGUUGCAGGGUAUAGACCCGAAACCCGGUGAUCUAGCCAUGGGCAGGUUGAAGGUUGGGUAACACUAACUGGAGGACCGAACCGACUAAUGUUGAAAAAUUAGCGGAUGACUUGUGGCUGGGGGUGAAAGGCCAAUCAAACCGGGAGAUAGCUGGUUCUCCCCGAAAGCUAUUUAGGUAGCGCCUCGUGAACUCAUCUUCGGGGGUAGAGCACUGUUUCGGCUAGGGGGUCAUCCCGACUUACCAACCCGAUGCAAACUACGAAUACCGAAGAAUGUUAUCACGGGAGACACACGGCGGGUGCUAACGUCCGUCGUGAAGAGGGAAACAACCCAGACCGCCAGCUAAGGUCCCAAAGUCAUGGUUAAGUGGGAAACGAUGUGGGAAGGCACAGACAGCCAGGAUGUUGGCUUAGAAGCAGCCAUCAUUUAAAGAAAGCGUAAUAGCUCACUGGUCGAGUCGGCCUGCGCGGAAGAUGUAACGGGGCUAAACCAUGCACCGAAGCUGCGGCAGCGACACUAUGUGUUGUUGGGUAGGGGAGCGUUCUGUAAGCCUGCGAAGGUGUGCUGUGAGGCAUGCUGGAGGUAUCAGAAGUGCGAAUGCUGACAUAAGUAACGAUAAAGCGGGUGAAAAGCCCGCUCGCCGGAAGACCAAGGGUUCCUGUCCAACGUUAAUCGGGGCAGGGUGAGUCGACCCCUAAGGCGAGGCCGAAAGGCGUAGUCGAUGGGAAACAGGUUAAUAUUCCUGUACUUGGUGUUACUGCGAAGGGGGGACGGAGAAGGCUAUGUUAGCCGGGCGACGGUUGUCCCGGUUUAAGCAUGUAGGCUGAUUGUCCAGGCAAAUCCGGAUAAUCAAGGCUGAGGUGUGAUGACGAGGCACUACGGUGCUGAAGUAACAAAUGCCCUGCUUCCAGGAAAAGCCUCUAAGCAUCAGGUAACAUUAAAUCGUACCCCAAACCGACACAGGUGGUCAGGUAGAGAAUACCAAGGCGCUUGAGAGAACUCGGGUGAAGGAACUAGGCAAAAUGGUGCCGUAACUUCGGGAGAAGGCACGCUGGUGUGUAGGUGAAGUCCCUGCGGAUGGAGCUGAGACCAGUCGAAGAUACCAGCUGGCUGCAACUGUUUAUUAAAAACACAGCACUGUGCAAACACGAAAGUGGACGUAUACGGUGUGACGCCUGCCCGGUGCCGGAAGGUUAAUUGAUGGGGUUAUCCGUAAGGAGAAGCUCUUGAUCGAAGCCCCGGUAAACGGCGGCCGUAACUAUAACGGUCCUAAGGUAGCGAAAUUCCUUGUCGGGUAAGUUCCGACCUGCACGAAUGGCGUAAUGAUGGCCAGGCUGUCUCCACCCGAGACUCAGUGAAAUUGAACUCGCUGUGAAGAUGCAGUGUACCCGCGGCAAGACGGAAAGACCCCGUGAACCUUUACUAUAGCUUGACACUGAACAUUGAGCCUUGAUGUGUAGGAUAGGUGGGAGGCUUUGAAGCGUGGACGCCAGUCUGCGUGGAGCCAACCUUGAAAUACCACCCUUUAAUGUUUGAUGUUCUAACGUUGGCCCCUGACCGGGGUUGCGGACAGUGUCUGGUGGGUAGUUUGACUGGGGCGGUCUCCUCCCAAAGCGUAACGGAGGAGCACGAAGGUUAGCUAAUCCUGGUCGGACAUCAGGAGGUUAGUGCAAUGGCAUAAGCUAGCUUGACUGCGAGCGUGACGGCGCGAGCAGGUGCGAAAGCAGGUCAUAGUGAUCCGGUGGUUCUGAAUGGAAGGGCCAUCGCUCAACGGAUAAAAGGUACUCCGGGGAUAACAGGCUGAUACCGCCCAAGAGUUCAUAUCGACGGCGGUGUUUGGCACCUCGAUGUCGGCUCAUCACAUCCUGGGGCUGAAGUAGGUCCCAAGGGUAUGGCUGUUCGCCAUUUAAAGUGGUACGCGAGCUGGGUUUAGAACGUCGUGAGACAGUUCGGUCCCUAUCUGCCGUGGGCGCUGGAGAAUUGAGGGGGGCUGCUCCUAGUACGAGAGGACCGGAGUGGACGCAUCACUGGUGUUCGGGUUGUCAUGCCAAUGGCACUGCCCGGUAGCUAAAUGCGGAAGAGAUAAGUGCUGAAAGCAUCUAAGCACGAAACUUGCCCCGAGAUGAGUUCUCCCUGAGACUUUAAGUCUCCUGAAGGAACGUUAAAGACGAUGACGUUGAUAGGCCGGGUGUGUAAGCGCAGCGAUGCGUUGAGCUAACCGGUACUAAUGAACCGUGAGGCUUAACCUU